GGGUGAUCCGCCCGCCUCUGCCUCCUAAAGUGCUGGGAUUACAGGUGUGAGCCACCACGCCCAGCCUAGAAAUUAAUUUAUAAAUUUUAUUUUAUUGCUGGUUAAAAGAGUUCUUUCAGAUAAAACAAAAGUCUUUGGUGUAAGCAAUAUGAUCAUACAAAUGGAUAUUGUACUUUUUAAAAAAACAAAAGAAAACGCAGGUUUAAGGAGAGAAGGGAUGGAUAUACUACUUCUGUCUUUCCUAUCUUCUGCCAUAUUCUGAGCUUUGUGUAUAUUCCCCUGAGGAGCAGGCUAGUGAUAACUUAAACUUGCAGUUAUAUAUUUCUGAUUAAGUUGUUACUUAUGAUUCUAGAUAGAAGAAUAAAGAAGUAAAAUUAGAUUUCUUAAUUUGAUAUAUUUAAGUCCUUUAUUUUGAUCUAUUUGAUAAAACAGUAAUCUUUCAGUACUAGCCCUGUUACACAUACUAAUAAUAUCUAUCAAAUAGGGUUGUGGUGAGGAUUAGAACAAAUAAUAAAUGUUAAGUGUUUAGUGCCAUGCCCUGAACUUAACACAUGCUUAUUAAAUAUUAACUAUUGCUGUUACCAUUAUCACCAUCAUUAAUAAACAUCUAUAUUAUAUAUCCCCAUGACCGAAUGUACAGCAUAAAGCAUAAAUAGUAAAAUUACCCAAAGACAAAGAGGAAUGGGAAGGUCCAGUUGAUUAACCUCUUGUUUAGAGGAGCAGAUUAUUCCAGGGGUUAGGAAAUACUUUCCUGUAAGGCAUGUUUAACUUUCAUUUAUGGAUUGAUGGCAAUAUAAAUACCGCUUUUGACAUGAGAAAGAUAUAAUAAUGGCAUUACAUCAAUUAUAAAUUUCAUGAGGGCAGGGACUGUGUUUGAUUUACCUUAUGUCCUUAGUUCCCAUUUUAAUGUCUGGCUCAUGGAAGGCACUCCAUUAAGUAUUUGUUGUCAUCUGUCUAUGUUUUCUUCUUUGUCUUUCUUUAGCUUCUAAAAAGAGUUAUUGUUUUUAUAUUCAUAAUUUCUUAUUUCAUCAGUAAUGUGACUCCCCUAGAAUUAUUAGUUAAAAUACAGAUCUUUCUUGGAAAGAGACUGUUUGAAGCAAAUGACUUGGGAGAAAACUUAACAUUCAGGUUUAAGGUGUUUCUGUACAAAGACUCAUAUUUGAUCCUAAAAAACAAAAUAACUUAUUUUCAUUUGUAUAUAUGUUAGAAAAUUCCUAAUGUUUAACACUUAAGUUGCGUUGUGUUCUGGUGUAUAUAUUAUAAUGGAAAAAUCUGUAGCCUAAAAGGCACUGCUUUCAAUUAGAUAUUUAAGAAACACUUUUUACUCUCCUAUUUUAAAGGAAAACUUUACAUAGCCCAUUUAUCUUCAUGUCUUUUUGAGCCAGCAAAACAUUUACAACUAUUGAAAAUAAGGUGUUUUUCAGAAAUCAAUACUGAUCAAAAAGAAGUAUAGCUACUGUGACAAACUUAGGUAAAUAGUUUUAUUUGUUAAGGAAAAAGUCUGUCUUAUGGAGUUGUAUAUAAAGUACUAAAUUGAAUAUAUAGUUAUAUGUUUGUGUUCCUAUUGCAUACUAGAGUCUGGAUGUACAUAGACUCAGCAUAAUUCGUUAUGGUCCAGAGGAAUAUAUAUUUUAAGAUGGACUCUUAGUCCUAAGAGUGAGAGGUGAUCCUACAACCAGUGGCUUGCUUGGUUGUAGGAUCAGAUGCGAUUAAGUUCAGAUAGGAGACAUUUUGAACUUCUCUGGUUGUAGAGAUGCUGCCUCUUUAUUUCCUACAAAUAUACAGUGUACUUUGGAUGUCUUCUGAGGCAGAGUAGAACUAGAGCGACCUCUUGCAACAGGAAUUGGGGUCUGGAGAUAUAUCCUACCCAGCAGCACUAUUAUAAGUAUUUUGGUUUUGGUAGUAAAUUUCCUUACAGUACACAGCCAUACCUUGAAUAUAUCGUGGGUUUGGCAUCAGACUACCACAAUAAAGUAACUAUUGCAAUAAUGUGAGUCAUACAUUUUUUUGAUUUCCCAGUGCGUAUAAAGGUUAUGUUUAUACUAUACAGUAGUCUAUUAAGUGUGCAAUAAUAUUAUGCCUAAGAAAGCAAUGUACAUACCUUAACUUAAAUUUUUUUAUUGCUAAAAAUGCUAAUGAUCAUCUGAGCCUUCAGUGAGUCAUAAGCUUUUUGUUGGUAGAGGGUCCUCUCUCAGUGUUGAUUGCUGCUGACUGCUCAGGAUGGUGGUUGCUAAAAGUUGGAGUGGCUGUAUCAAUUUCUUAAAAUAAGACAACAAUAAAGUUCAUUGAUUGAUGCUUGAAUCAGUUUACUCUUCCUUUCAAGAAAGAUUUCUCUGUAGAAUAUCAUGCUACUUAAUAGCAUUUUACUCACAGUAGAACUUCUUUUAAAAUUGGGAUCAGUCCUCUGAAACCCUGCUACUGCUUUAUCAACUAAGUUUAUGAAAUAUUCUAAAUCCUUUGUUGUCAUUUCAACAAUGUUCUUAGCAUCCUCAACAGGAGUAGUUUCCAUCUCAAGAAAAUAACUCCUUUGCUCAUUCAUCAUUACCUAGCUCAUACCUUAUCCCUCAUUUGUUCAAGUUUGGUCAUGAGAUUGUAACAAUUCAGUCACAUCUUUAGGUUCCACAACUAACUCUAGUUUUCUUGCUAUUUGUGUCAUAUCUACAGUUACUUCCUCCACUGAAGUCUUAAAAUCUUCAAAGUAAUCUAUGAGGGUUAGAAUCUUCUUCACCCCUGUCAGUGUUGAUGUUUGGACCUCCUACCAUGAAUCAGAAAUAUUCUCAAUGGCAUCUAGAAUGGUAAAUUAUUUCCAGAAAGAUUUCAGUUUCCUUUAUCCAGAUCCAUCAAAGGAAUCACAAUCUAUGACAGAAAUAGCUGUACGAAAUGUAUUUCUUAAAUAGUGAGACCUGAAAGUUGAAAUUAUUCCUUGAUCUGUGGGCUGCAGACUGGAUGCUGUAUUAAUAGGCAUGAAAACAACAUUAAUCUCCUUGUACAUCUUCACCAGAGCUCUUGGGUGGCCAGGGGCUUUGUCAAUGAACAGUAAUAUUUUUAAAGGAAUCUUUUCUUCUGAGCAGUAGUUCUUAACAGAGGGCUUAAAAUAUUCAGUAAGCCAUGCUAUAAACAGAUGUGCUAUCAUCCAGACCUGUUGGUCCAUUUCUAGAGCACAGGCAGAGUAGAUUAAGCAUAACUUUUGAGGGUCCCAGGAUUUUCAGAAUGGCCAGUGAGCACUGGCUUCAACUUAGAAAGUUGCCAGCUGCAUUAGCCCCUACCAAGAGACGCAGCCUGUCCUUUGAAGCUUUGAAACCAGGCACUGACUUCUGCUCUUUAGCUAUGAAAGUCUGAUGUGCCAUUUCCCCCACACCCAGUAUGAGGCUGUUUUGUCUACAUGGAAAAUCUGUUGUUCAGGGUAGCCACCUUAAUCAGUGAUCUUAGGUAGAUCUUCUGAGUAACUUGCUGUAGCAUCUUGCUGUGCUUGCUGCUUCACUUGCACUUUUAUGGAAUAGCUUCUUUCCUUAUACCUCAUGAAGCCACCUUUGCGAGCUUCCAACUUUUCUUCUACAGCUUUCUCUCCUCUCUCUGCCUUCAUAGAAUUGAAGAGAGUUGGGGCCUUGCUCUGGAUUAGGAUUCGACUUUAAGGUAAUGUUGUGGCUGGUUUGGUCUUCUGUCCAGACAUUUGGUCUCCUUAUCAGCAAUAAGGCUGUUUUGCUUUGUUAGCAUUCGUGUGUUCACUGGGGUGGCACAUUUAAUUUCCUUCAAGAAUUUUUCUUUGUAUUCACAGCUUGACUGUUUGGUGCAAGAGGCCUAGUUUUCGGCCUGAUUCAGCUUUUGAUAUGCCUUCCACAUUAAGCUUAAUCAUUUGUAGCUUUUGAUUUAAAGUGAAAGAUGUGUGACUGUUCUUUCUUGAACAUUUAGAAGCCAUUGUAGGGUUAUUUCUUUUUAUUUCCAUUUUUUUCUCUAACCUGAUUCAGAGAAAUCUAGAGUUAUUAACUUUCAUAUUUUUGUGUAUCAGGGAAUAAGGAGUCCAGAGACAGGCAGAAAGACAGGGGAAUGGCUGUCGUGGUGAAACAGUCAGAAUACAUAGAUUUAUCUAUUAGGUUUGACAUCUUAUAGGACUGCAGUUUGUGGUGCCUAAAUAGUAAUGUCAAAGACUGCUGAUCAUAGAUCACCAUAGCAGGUAUGAUAAUAAUGAAAAAGCUUGAAAUAUUGUGAGAAUGACCAAAAUGUGACACAGACACAAAAUGAGCACACGCUGUUGGAAAAACGGCACUGAUAGUCUUGCUCAAUGCAUGGUUGCCACAAACCCUCAAUGUGUAAAACACCACAAUAUAUGUGAAGUACAAGCAGGUAUGCCUGUACGUAGUUGGUGCCUGUGGUUUUGUAUCCAUUGAAAUAUACUGUCACUCAUUGGGUCUGCAACUGGGUGUAAUAAUAAUAUCACCUGGUUGUCAGUGGACUUUGAGUCAUCUUCUUUCUUUUGUGAUGGUUUGCUAUUGUCAAGUUAAAUUUUUAUGAGCUUUUUUCAGAGCAGAAAUUGAACAUUAAAUGGUUUAUUAACCAAAAUAAGGCAACUGCCUUUAGACUUUAAUGCAGUCCCACUUUUUUUUUUUUUUUCCUGUAGCUUAUUGUCUUCCUGGUUUAAAAUGCUUAAACAGAGAAUAGUAACAGUAUGGUUAAAAGUUUUGAAGUUAGAAAGUUGGAACUUGCCUUUUUUUUUGAUUAUAUGAUCCUAAGAGUCACAAGAGAAUAGGCAGAAAAAUUACUAUUUUAUCAAUAGGUGAAAGUUCAGGUUUAUCUGAAUUUAGAAUAUUAAAUUGUAUUUUAACCAUGCUGCAUGUUUUUAUAACAUAUAAAUCAUAAUUGACUUUAUACUAUUCUGUUUUUUUAUAAGGUGAUCUGUUGUGGCUGCAAAGUUGUUAAAAUUAGCUUUGAAGGAAUCUCCUGUAGCUUAGUGUUCAUUUGCAAAAUCAAUCACAUUUUUUCUUCUGCCCUGUUAAACUGAUGGAAUCAUUUUCUAGCAUAUGGAAACAUUUCUGGAUCUCAUGCUCUUUUGUGUAAAUAACCCCAUGUGACUCACAAAUGUUGAAAAAGCAAUAGAUAUUUCCAAAUGCUAUUAGAACCAUCAAACUAAUAUACCCUACAGGUAUUGAACAAAAAGUUCUUCAUUGGGAUAAAUGAAAACCAGAAUGAAGUCUAAGUCACCGUUUGCAGUGAAGAUUAGUUACUCUUUCCACUCUAAUUCCAGAAUUUCUUUAAUUUUUGUUGCUUAUGCUAGCAGUAGUAUUGUCACAAAAGAUUCAAGAGUCAUCUCCUCAGGUAACCUAUUGCUACAUAAACCAUUUGUAGAAAAUGCUCCCUGACUUCAUUUAUAGAAAAAAUGAUGAAGUUAAAAACAGUUGUCCAAGGUUUUGAACUAUAAUAAGCUUAUAAUAAGCUAUUUUGAAGUAUCACUGUCAAUACAAAGUACAUACCAGUGUGAGAUUUUAAGCAGUAAUAAAAUCUAUGCAUGGAAAGUAAAUGAAGUGUUUCUGCAAUGUUUAUGAAGGGACAGAUAUAUGGGAAGAAGUGAUAUUAAACCUUGUCAUACAUUCUGACAAUGUACAUGGACAGAGCUAGAGUGCUUAUAAAGAUUAGUAACGUAUCAUUGCAAUAAGAUGUGCAUCCCGUGGUCUAAACUUGUUCCUAAAUGACAUCUUGAAGUUUGGCUUGUCCAAAAACAUCUUUUGAAGAAGGACAGAUGCUGUAGCUGCUUUAAGG
This is a long non-coding RNA of Sapajus apella (tufted capuchin), 5751 nucleotides long. RefSeq lists it as uncharacterized. Lineage: Eukaryota; Metazoa; Chordata; Mammalia; Primates; Cebidae. The transcript is spliced from 2 exons. The record is from RefSeq and is a predicted model, not a curated record.